This 22-nucleotide microRNA is filed under the name Schmidtea mediterranea. RNAcentral's name for it is "sme-miR-76-3p". Its record names the gene sme-miR-76-3p. The record is from miRBase by way of RNAcentral. Lineage: Eukaryota; Metazoa; Platyhelminthes; Tricladida; Dugesiidae.
UUCGUUGUUUAUGAAUGAGAGA